CAGAGGGUGCAAGCGUUGUUCGGAAUUAUUGGGCGUAAAGCGCGUGUAGGCGGCUUUGCAAGUCGGGUGUGAAAGCCCUCAGCUCAACUGAGGAAGUGCGCCCGAAACUGCAUGGCUUGAGUACCGGAGAGGAUGGUGGAAUUCCCGAAGUAGAGGUGAAAUUCGUAGAUAUCGGGAGGAACACCGGUGGCGAAGGCGACCAUCUGGACGGAUACUGACGCUGAGACGCGAAAGCGUGGGUAGCAAACAGGAUUAGAUACCCUGGUAGUCCACGCCGUAAACGAUGAGAACUAGGUGUUGUGGGUGUUGACCCCGCGGUGCCGUAGCUAACGCAUUAAGUUCUCCGCCUGGGAAGUACGGCCGCAAGGCUA
This 371-nucleotide ribosomal RNA is filed under the name uncultured organism. RNAcentral's name for it is "bacterial SSU rRNA". It matches the Rfam family "Bacterial small subunit ribosomal RNA", at positions 526 to 896 of the family's 1533-position model. The record is from RNAcentral.